GGCCAGGUGGCUGAUGUAGAUCCAAGCUGUGUAGGUGAUGUGCUUGUGUAAAUCAGCCCUAAAUCUGGUCCUUGUUGGUGGCUGCUGCUUCUUUGGCUUGAGAAAUUCAGUACUUCACCACCCAGCCCUCCUGAAGCUGAUAUUUGGAAGGUCUCUGCAUGUGAUGAUUCUGAUUGCUCCUGAAGGACCUACUGCAGAUUGACAGGAGGCUGCCAAAACACAUUGUACCACAUCAGGAGGAGCAGAGGACAGCUUGAGACUCUCAUUCCUUCUCGUCUCUGGGGAUGAGGAG
Non-coding RNA from Meleagris gallopavo (turkey), 292 nucleotides. The record is from RefSeq and is a predicted model, not a curated record. Lineage: Eukaryota; Metazoa; Chordata; Aves; Galliformes; Phasianidae.